This 72-nucleotide transfer RNA is filed under the name bacterium. RNAcentral's name for it is "tRNA-Gly". It matches the Rfam family "tRNA". Rfam says of the family: Transfer RNA (tRNA) molecules are approximately 80 nucleotides in length. Their secondary structure includes four short double-helical elements and three loops (D, anti-codon, and T loops). Further hydrogen bonds mediate the characteristic L-shaped molecular structure. tRNAs have two regions of fundamental functional importance: the anti-codon, which is responsible for specific mRNA codon recognition, and the 3' end, to which the tRNAs corresponding amino acid is attached (by aminoacyl-tRNA synthetases). tRNAs cope with the degeneracy of the genetic code in two manners: having more than one tRNA (with a specific anti-codon) for a particular amino acid; and 'wobble' base-pairing, i.e. permitting non-standard base-pairing at the 3rd anti-codon position. The record is from RNAcentral.
GCGAGCGUCGUAUAAUGGUUAUUAUCUUGGUUUUCCAAACCAAUGAUACGGGUUCGAUUCCCGUCGCUCGCU